CCCUCCGCCAGAGAACUACAAGUGAAAAACUUAAAACUCAAAGGACUUGACGGUGUCCCACAUCAAUCUAGAGGAGCCUGUCCUAUAAUCGAUACUCCCCGUUCUACCUAACCCCAACUAGCAACCAGCCUAUAUACCGCCGUCGACAGCUUACCCCAUGAGGGUAAUAGUAAGCACAAUAGCCACCGCUAAUACGUCAGGUCAAGGUGUAGCUAAUGUUGAGCAGAGAUUGGC
This 234-nucleotide ribosomal RNA is filed under the name Psammodromus hispanicus (Spanish sand racer). RNAcentral's name for it is "partial 12S ribosomal RNA". It matches the Rfam family "Bacterial small subunit ribosomal RNA", at positions 865 to 1225 of the family's 1533-position model. The record is from RNAcentral. Lineage: Eukaryota; Metazoa; Chordata; Lepidosauria; Squamata; Lacertidae.